GCUGUGAUGGCCGAGUGGUUAAGGCGUUGGACUUGAAAUCCAAUGGGGUCUCCGUGCGCAGGUUCAAACCCUGCUCACAGUG
This is a non-coding RNA of Etheostoma spectabile (orangethroat darter), 82 nucleotides long. The record is from the annotation of a RefSeq genome assembly. NCBI's taxonomy places the organism in Eukaryota, Metazoa, Chordata, Actinopteri, Perciformes, Percidae.